GCUCCAUGCUUUUUUACUUGUAUUUCAGUGGGUUUUUCUUAGGGUUUUUGGUUUUCAGCUUUAGAAAUCUCUAUUUCGUUCCGUCUUUCAGAUCUAUAAAUGUCGGUCUUGUUCUUCAUUUUUGUUUGUUUAUCGUAAACUAUAUGUUGUUCUUUAUUUUUGGAUUGUUUGUUCCCCUCUGUUUAAUAUUAUAACUUUUGUGUUAUUUUCUGUUUCUUUUAAAUCGUUGCUUAGCAAAAUACUAAUUGCCUAAACAAAAAGCAUCCGCAUGUAAAUUGUUUACUGCAUCUGUGUUGGCUUGAUUUUGGUUCUAGGAACCCGAUGGGUGUUGUGUUGGCUUGAUUUUGGUUCUAGGAACCCGGUGGGAGUUGUGACGCACGUAGAGUUUAUUUGGUAGUUUUUCUGGAUGGUAAUAAAAUGUCUUUUUAAUUCGUUGUGAGUUGUGACAUUCUGUUUCUUAGUUUUCUCAAAAAGUUUGUACUUUAGUUUUAAAAAAAUUAUAAUAAUCUAAUUGGGAUGCUUGUUGAUAUUGAUAGGAAUUGGAGAAUUUCAACCGAUUUGCUAAUUGCAAAGGUUUUUGUCGAUUUGGGUUUCAUGAUUAUAUACGGUGGAGAUUGUCAUGAUUCGUAUAUGCAUAUAUGUUUUCUUUUUCAUACUGCUGGGUGUUUGCAUUAGUCAGUAAGUGUUGGGUAUAUUUUCUUUAAAAUAAUUGGGAUUGUUUGAGUUCUGUUGGGUAUGAUUUGCAAAUGGAUUUUGAUUGGAAGUUUUAGGUAGACCCAUGGUAUCUCUGUAUAUCUUCUGAAUGGGAAGUUUUAUGUGAUUAUUGAUAUAUCCAUGUGGUGAAAAUGCUCUGAUUUUGGUUAAAGAUAGAAUUAUAUUCAUCUGUGUUACCUAGCCUUACAUGAAGGGAAAUUUAGUUGUAAUCUUUUAAGUAAAUAGGUUCCAUGAGACUGAUUAACGUAAUUUUGAUUUGCUUAUUGGUUGAUGGUUUUACGAGACUGGUAAAAAGAUGUGUUGGAUAUAUUCUCUAAUGAUGUCAUAACCAAUUUCUUGUUCAUUUAUUGUCUUAGUUGAUUUCUCGAUGCAUGCUGGUUCUGAAUAAAUUUUUGUUCUUUUGAUUUUUCUGUUUUGGGUUAGCUUAUAGGAUUUAAAGAUUGUCUUAUUCCAAUCCACGAAUAUCCUUGUCAUAUCCAUGUGGUGAAAAUGCUCUGAUUUUGGUUAAAGAUAGAAUUAUAUUCAUCUGUGUUACCUAGCCUUACAUGAAGGGAAAUUUAGUUGUAAUCUUUUAAGUAAAUAGGUUCCAUGAGACUGAUUAACGUAAUUUUGAUUUGCUUAUUGGUUGAUGGUUUUACGAGACUGGUAAAAAGAUGUGUUGGAUAUAUUCUCUAAUGAUGUCAUAACCAAUUUCUUGUUCAUUUAUUGUCUUAGUUGAUUUCUCGAUGCAUGCUGGUUCUGAAUAAAUUUUUGUUCUUUUGAUUUUUCUGUUUUGGGUUAGCUUAUAGGAUUUAAAGAUUGUCUUAUUCCAAUCCACGAAUAUCCUUGUCAUAUCCUGUCUCGGAAUAAGCUAUUCUGGGGAUAUCCCCUUCAUAUCCCAUCCCGAUUCAGAAUUUCCCCUGUCCGGUUUAGUUCUUUUAGUGUCCGGUUCAGAUUUUUUAUGCUGCAGGACCGGACUACCUGUCACACUUAUUCCACGUAGGGAUAUCCCAUUCCUUGUAUAUCCCGGUUUGGGGAUAUCCUAAAGAGGGAUAUCCCGGCCGGGUAUAUCCCAUUCCAAGGAUAUCCCGGCGUUGGUUUAAGGUUAUUUUUUGAAGGAAAAUACUGGGCUAUUAUUAAAAUUCAAAAACACGAACCAUCAGGACUAAAAGACCGACUCCAAAACGAAAUGGGCCCAAAGCAAAACAAAAGCCUGGAAAAACAGGCCUAAAUUUUUCUGGGUCUAAAUACUAUUUAAGAAAAGAUUGUAUCUUCAAUCCAUAAAGAUUGAAUAUAACUUUUCCCAAGUACGAUAUUUUUUACAAAAUGAAAUAAAAUUCAAACCAUUUUUAAAAUAAAUAAUAAAAACUCUUUCUUCCUUCAUCUCUCUCACGUUCGGUUCUCCCUUUCUUCUCUUCCCUUUUCCCCUUUCUUCUACUAAUUUUCUUUUUCUCUCUUCCUCCUUUAUUGUCCUUUCUAACAAACCGCUGCCGCUGCUUCCACACAUUUUCCAGCGUCUUACCUCCGAUCAGGCCAGCUUCCUUCCCAUCAUUCGAAACUUAAAUCCUCAAAUAUAUCUAUCCAAUCCAUUAUUUAUCGUUUCUUCGGCGAUUCUCUCUCACCCUAGGUCUCUUUUCAACGUUUUCCUGUCAUUCUAUUUUAGCCUUGGGUAUCCACAGGCCAAAAAAACACACGCUAUAGUAGGAAGAGAGUUUUCGUGAGAGAGAAACCCUAUGUUUUCUCUGGCGUUUCUGGUUUUUGUGAUUUUUGAAAUUUGCUGCUUAAACGAAGACUCAUUUCAGCUUACAGGAUUUAAAGAUUGUCUUUGGUCAAUCGUUUGAUAAUUAUUACCUUAUACAAGUGCUGUUUGAUUUUCCUUUUUCAAUGUUGUCAUAGUGUAUAAAUGUUGAGGGUUAAAUAUUUUAGAAUUAAAAGCAAAUUGACAUGAUAUAUAUAGCAAUUAUAAUAUUAUUUAAUUAAUAUUAUACAAUUAAUAUAAAAUGAAAUUAAAAGCAAGAUGUUUGGGAGUAUGAUUCGGUACUUUUCAACGAAACCCAAGCCGAAAAUGAAGCCAAUCGAGUUGAAAACGUCGCCAGAGCAAACGCAGACCAUAAGCAGAGUCACCUUUGACAUUCUCAAGGAGCAUGGGCCCCUCACCAUCGGUGAUACUUGGGAACGAGUCAAGGAGGUUGGACUGAGAGCACUUACAAGUAAGAGGCACAUGAAGAUCGUGCUGAGAUGGAUGAGAGGGAGACAAAACAUUAGGCUAAUAUGCAACCAUGUGGGGCCUCACAAACAAUUUCUGUAAACAACUUGGUUCACUAAACCAAGCAUCAGCCACACAAGAGCUGUCCAUAAUUCCUCAACUUCUACAACUAGUUUUUCUGUCGAUACUUCUAGUCCAAAGUCGUCUUCAGGUUAGGUUGUAGCACGCUUGUGCUGGCUGUAAUACCAUCACAUGUACUGUUUUUUGCAAUAAUGUAAUACAAUUGUUCUGUUGUCAUGUUGUAGAAA
This is a long non-coding RNA of Gossypium raimondii (Peruvian cotton), 3207 nucleotides long. RefSeq lists it as uncharacterized. The transcript is spliced from 3 exons. Lineage: Eukaryota; Viridiplantae; Streptophyta; Magnoliopsida; Malvales; Malvaceae. The record is from RefSeq and is a predicted model, not a curated record.